CACCCCUCAAGCUCUGCUUGGUAUUGGGCGGCGUCCUCUCCGGACGCGCCUCAAAGACCUCGGCGGUGGCGUCUUGCCUCAAGCGUAGUAGAAAACACCUCGCUUUGGAGGACGGGACGACCGCUCGCCGGACGAACCUUUGAAUUCAUUUUCCUA
Molecule: unclassified non-coding RNA, 156 nt
Filed under: uncultured Pseudofusicoccum
Lineage: Eukaryota; Fungi; Ascomycota; Dothideomycetes; Botryosphaeriales; Botryosphaeriaceae
Description: sequence contains ITS2
Source: RNAcentral